AUAUCGCUGGAGUGUACGACAACCUUACCAAUUUUGAACCUACAUUUUGACAUAAGGGAUUCUAAUUAUUUCUUAAAGGAUGUCAUGCCUUUUAAUUUGGAAGACAGAUCUUAAGGUGAGGAAACCCACCUAGCACUGCUAGGCGUCACUAAGUAAGAACGGCACUUUGGUCACAAA
This 177-nucleotide non-coding RNA is filed under the name Lachnospiraceae bacterium. RNAcentral's name for it is "6S RNA". It matches the Rfam family "6S / SsrS RNA". Rfam says of the family: E. coli 6S RNA was the first non coding RNA to be sequenced, but its function was unknown until recently. Lineage: Bacteria; Bacillati; Bacillota; Clostridia; Lachnospirales; Lachnospiraceae. The record is from RNAcentral.